CCUCACGAGACUUGGGGACACUAGCUCGUCAAAAAUAAUUUUAGUGUGCCUAGACCAUACCUCAAAGUAAGGAUACCAUCGAGGAUUUCCAAGGAUUUUGACUGAAGUUUCAAGAGAUGGAGGCCUAAUAAGCAUUCCUCUCGUUGUGACCAAUUGUGUGAAGGAACAUUGCUACUUGUUCCUCAACACAACAAUGGAUACUAUCAGAAAGAAGGCUUCUUUGUUUCAGUGUAUCACACAACAAAAAGAAUGGUGCUCUCCUCAAUCUUAGCAUGCGCAAACAAAUCGUAUCAUCUUUAUGGUAAAUACUAGAAAGGUAGUCAUUUCGUUUCAUUUCCAUAUCAAUCAUUGGGGCAUAUGAAAUCCGUUUCCUUUUCAUCUUCCUCCUCACAAUCAGAAUAUAAUAAA
Long non-coding RNA from Zea mays, 408 nucleotides. RefSeq lists it as uncharacterized. The transcript is spliced from 3 exons. NCBI's taxonomy places the organism in Eukaryota, Viridiplantae, Streptophyta, Magnoliopsida, Poales, Poaceae. The record is from RefSeq and is a predicted model, not a curated record.